CCCAUCCAUACCUCCGCCCCAUGACAGAUCCCCUGGGACUCCCACGCCUAUCCAACCCCCCCCCCCCCCGCUCGUUGUCCCCUGACCGCCCCCUCCCGGGACCCUCUGCCCCUAACCACCCCCCUGGGAUUCCACCCCGUAUCCAACCGCCCCCUGCUCCCUGUCCACUGACUGCCCCAACCCCUAUCUAGUAUCCACAACCCCACAGCCUGACAGACCUCCCGGGACUCCCACGCCUAUCCAACCGCCCCCUGCUCCCUGUCCCCUGAGAAGAUGUUGCCUGAGAAGAGGAAUAACGGCUUAAAAAUAUAACACCACCGUGUCCAUCACCACACAACGCUGUGGGCUCCCCAGUGCUAUUGGGCUGCUCCCUGGCCUUGGCAGGACCUGACUCCAAUUUUACACCAGUAGGAAUGAGGCAAUAGCUGUUCUGAAGUCAGCAGAGCUACACUGAUGUCAAAUUUGGCUAAGAAACAUCAGAAUCAGGCCCAGGGACUUCUUCUUUCCCAAGAAUGGUGGUAGCUUCAGUUCUCUUUUCCUGGCACUGGGUGUUUCAGCUCAUCCCCUCUCUCUCACUCGCUUGCUUGUCACUUGCUUCCUGAUCACUGGACUGAAGUGCAUUUCAGUAUUUUUAACUGCAGUCCUUCCAUUCUUAGUUAAGCUCUAUCAUGGCUUCAGGUGGGCAGUUUAUUUUUGAUAAGGGCUAUAGCAGCUGUACAAACAUUAGACCAAGGGAGAUAGUUACACCAGGAUAUUGGCAGUUGUGUCUCUCCAGCGAGGCAAAUAAAAUCCCACCUUGCUCCCUACAUAGCCAGACCCCACUCCCCCACUUUUGUGCUCUGUCUCUGCUGUCAGUACCCUCUCUCUGCUCUUUUUGUUCUGCCUCUGAGGCUCUUGUGUCUCUCCUCCCACCCUCCAUUUAAAGUUAGGCAGUGAUGACUCCUCCCACCCCAAACAGCCAGUACAAACUGUAAGUCCCAGAGCAUUAGAAAACUGUUCAGAGACUGGCAAUAAAGUUAAUUGGGAGCUACGCCUUUGAUUAUACUAUUGCAGCAUCACCUUCUCUGCCUCUUCUUGCUCAAGCACAUGGGUUGUCAGAUGGUUUCAGUUAUACUGGUCUACAAUACACAAUUGUCAGCCUGAUUUUCCAUACAUGAAGGUGCCAAAUAAUUCAACAAAAAAACCCGAGGAGUACUGUCUCUAAGGUGCCACCGUACUCCUUGUUGUUGUUCUUUGCUGAUACAGACUAACACGGCUACCACUCUGAAACCUGUCACCAAAUAAUUCAGGAAUACAGUGCUGCUGAACACAAGGAAAACGUGUGUCUUGACUUGGACUCAUUGCAUUUCCUAGAUCUGAGUAUCCUUUCACUGCGAACACUUCCACUGACUGGCUGAGUACGCAAUGGAUGGGCUUUCUCAGCAAAGAGGCACAGAAAACAUUAGCCUUCUAAGUACAUAAUGGUGAAGUCGUGAAGUUGGGACUCAAUCAUUUUGGCGGAAAUCACAACUUGCUCAGCUCUGUAACCUGAAAGCUUGUUAAGAGGUGCUUCACCUCCCCACACUUGGAAUAAAGCACGAAGAAUCAUUUC
Long non-coding RNA from Chelonia mydas (Green sea turtle), 1591 nucleotides. RefSeq lists it as uncharacterized. The transcript has 2 exons. The record is from RefSeq and is a predicted model, not a curated record. NCBI's taxonomy places the organism in Eukaryota, Metazoa, Chordata, Testudines, Cheloniidae.